AAUUAUAAUGAGGUCCUCCCCCGCAUUCUACAGUUUGAGGGUGGGGCUACCCUAGUUUGUUUUGGCUAUUAAAAAAGAAGACAGUGCUCAAGAUCGAUGUCUUUACUUCAAUUUGCUUUGCUGGCAGUACUCUCUGUGACCACUGAAGUACAGGGGCAAGGGCAAGGCUGCCAGUGGUGGCAACUGAGAACUCUCAGAAAUCACCAGAGGAGACCGUCAAAGUGUCAGAGGGUAGUGUUGCUAUAGGGACAUUAAGACCGAUGAUACUUUGUUAAGUUCCGAAGGCGAUACAAAACUUAUAAAGUAGCUCUAUAUUUACCCAGUGUAUAUAUAUAUACACAUUAGUGUGUAUACACAGUGUAUUUUGUGCAAUAAAGACUAUAAUUUAUAGCAACUCGUAAUAAUUAUGUUUAACACUAUUAUAUCAUCACACUCCCCUCA
Long non-coding RNA from Halichondria panicea, 441 nucleotides. RefSeq lists it as uncharacterized. Lineage: Eukaryota; Metazoa; Porifera; Demospongiae; Suberitida; Halichondriidae. The transcript is spliced from 2 exons. The record is from RefSeq and is a predicted model, not a curated record.